CACUAUCGUUAACUGAAUACAUAGGUUAACGAGGCGAACCGGGGGAACUGAAACAUCUAAGUACCCCGAGGAAAAGAAAUCAACCGAGAUUCCCCCAGUAGCGGCGAGCGAACGGGGAGCAGCCCAGAGUCUGAAUCAGCUUGUGUGUUAGUGGAACGGUCUGGAAAGUCCGACGGUACAGGGUGAUAGUCCCGUACACCAAAAUGCACAGGCUGUGAACUCGAAGAGUAGGGCGGGACACGUGGUAUCCUGUCUGAAUAUGGGGGGACCAUCCUCCAAGGCUAAAUACUCCUGACUGACCGAUAGUGAACCAGUACCGUGAGGGAAAGGCGAAAAGAACCCCGGCGAGGGGAGUGAAAAAGAACCUGAAACCGUGUACGUACAAGCAGUGGGAGCACCUUCGGGUGUGACUGCGUACCUUUUGUAUAAUGGGUCAGCGACUUAUAUUCUGUAGCAAGGUUAACCGUAUAGGGGAGCCGCAGGGAAACCGAGUCUUAACUGGGCGUUAAGUUGCAGGGUAUAGACCCGAAACCCGGUGAUCUAGCCAUGGGCAGGUUGAAGGUUGGGUAACACUAACUGGAGGACCGAACCGACUAAUGUUGAAAAAUUAGCGGAUGACUUGUGGCUGGGGGUGAAAGGCCAAUCAAACCGGGAGAUAGCUGGUUCUCCCCGAAAGCUAUUUAGGUAGCGCCUCGUGAAUUCAUCUUCGGGGGUAGAGCACUGUUUCGGCUAGGGGGUCAUCCCGACUUACCAACCCGAUGCAAACUACGAAUACCGAAGAAUGUUAUCACGGGAGACACACGGCGGGUGCUAACGUCCGUCGUGAAGAGGGAAACAACCCAGACCGCCAGCUAAGGUCCCAAAGUCAUGGUUAAGUGGGAAACGAUGUGGGAAGGCACAGACAGCCAGGAUGUUGGCUUAGAAGCAGCCAUCAUUUAAAGAAAGCGUAAUAGCUCACUGGUCGAGUCGGCCUGCGCGGAAGAUGUAACGGGGCUAAACCAUGCACCGAAGCUGCGGCAGCGACACUAUGUGUUGUUGGGUAGGGGAGCGUUCUGUAAGCCUGCGAAGGUGACCUGUGAGGGUUGCUGGAGGUAUCAGAAGUGCGAAUGCUGACAUAAGUAACGAUAAAGCGGGUGAAAAGCCCGCUCGCCGGAAGACCAAGGGUUCCUGUCCAACGUUAAUCGGGGCAGGGUGAGUCGACCCCUAAGGCGAGGCCGAAAGGCGUAGUCGAUGGGAAACAGGUUAAUAUUCCUGUACUUGGUGUUACUGCGAAGGGGGGACGGAGAAGGCUAUGUUAGCCGGGCGACGGUUGUCCCGGUUUAAGCAUGUAGGCUGGUUAUCCAGGCAAAUCCGGAUAAUCAAGGCUGAGGUGUGAUGACGAGGCACUACGGUGCUGAAGUAACAAAUGCCCUGCUUCCAGGAAAAGCCUCUAAGCAUCAGGUAACAUCAAAUCGUACCCCAAACCGACACAGGUGGUCAGGUAGAGAAUACCAAGGCGCUUGAGAGAACUCGGGUGAAGGAACUAGGCAAAAUGGUGCCGUAACUUCGGGAGAAGGCACGCUGGUGUGUAGGUGAAGUCCCUGCGGAUGGAGCUGAGACCAGUCGAAGAUACCAGCUGGCUGCAACUGUUUAUUAAAAACACAGCACUGUGCAAACACGAAAGUGGACGUAUACGGUGUGACGCCUGCCCGGUGCCGGAAGGUUAAUUGAUGGGGUUAUCCGUAAGGAGAAGCUCUUGAUCGAAGCCCCGGUAAACGGCGGCCGUAACUAUAACGGUCCUAAGGUAGCGAAAUUCCUUGUCGGGUAAGUUCCGACCUGCACGAAUGGCGUAAUGAUGGCCAGGCUGUCUCCACCCGAGACUCAGUGAAAUUGAACUCGCUGUGAAGAUGCAGUGUACCCGCGGCAAGACGGAAAGACCCCGUGAACCUUUACUAUAGCUUGACACUGAACAUUGAGCCUUGAUGUGUAGGAUAGGUGGGAGGCUUUGAAG
Molecule: ribosomal RNA, 1990 nt
Filed under: Klebsiella pneumoniae
Lineage: Bacteria; Pseudomonadati; Pseudomonadota; Gammaproteobacteria; Enterobacterales; Enterobacteriaceae
Description: bacterial LSU rRNA
Rfam family: Bacterial large subunit ribosomal RNA
Source: RNAcentral